CCGCAUGACAAUAGGGUACACAUGUACCCUAUUUAAAAGGGGCAAAUGCUUCACUAUGAGAUGGACCUGCGUUGUAUUAGCUAGUUGGUAAGGUAACGGCUUACCAAGGCGACGAUACAUAGCCGACCUGAGAGGGUGAUCGGCCACACUGGGACUGAGACACGGCCCAGACUCCUACGGGAGGCAGCAGUAGGGAAUCUUCGGCAAUGGGGGGGACCCUGACCGAGCAACGCCGCGUGAGUGAAGAAGGUUUUCGGAUCGUAAAGCUCUGUUGUUAGAGAAGAACGGUAAUGGGAGUGGAAAAUCCAUUACGUGACGGUAACUAACCAGAAAGGGACGGCUAACUACGUGCCAGCAGCCGCGGUAAUACGUAGGUCCCGAGCGUUGUCCGGAUUUAUUGGGCGUAAAGCGAGCGCAGGCGGUUUGAUA
This 429-nucleotide ribosomal RNA is filed under the name Streptococcus uberis S6261. Its description in RNAcentral is "bacterial SSU rRNA". It matches the Rfam family "Bacterial small subunit ribosomal RNA", at positions 169 to 585 of the family's 1533-position model. Lineage: Bacteria; Bacillati; Bacillota; Bacilli; Lactobacillales; Streptococcaceae. The record is from RNAcentral.